CACGGGUGCGUAACGCGUGGGAAUCUGCCCUUGGGUUCGGAAUAACAGCUAGAAAUGGCUGCUAAUACCGGAUGAUGACGUAAGUCCAAAGAUUUAUCGCCCAGGGAUGAGCCCGCGUAGGAUUAGCUAGUUGGUGGGGUAAAGGCCUACCAAGGCGACGAUCCUUAGCUGGUCUGAGAGGAUGAUCAGCCACACUGGGACUGAGACACGGCCCAGACUCCUACGGGAGGCAGCAGUGGGGAAUAUUGGACAAUGGGCGAAAGCCUGAUCCAGCAAUGCCGCGUGAGUGAUGAAGGCCUUAGGGUUGUAAAGCUCUUUUACCCGGGAUGAUAAUGACAGUACCGGGAGAAUAAGCUCCGGCUAACUCCGUGCCAGCAGCCGCGGUAAU
Molecule: ribosomal RNA, 388 nt
Filed under: uncultured bacterium
Lineage: Bacteria
Description: bacterial SSU rRNA
Rfam family: Bacterial small subunit ribosomal RNA
Source: RNAcentral